GACGAACGCUGGCGGCGUGCUUAACACAUGCAAGUCGAACGGAAAGGCCUCUUUCGGGGGGUACUCGAGUGGCGAACGGGUGAGUAACACGUGAGUAACCUGCCCUUGACUUUGGGAUAACUUCAGGAAACUGGGGCUAAUACCGGAUAGGAGAUCCUGCUGCAUGGUGGGGGUUGGAAAGUUUCGGCGGUUGGGGAUGGACUCGCGGCUUAUCAGCUUGUUGGUGGGGUAGUGGCUUACCAAGGCUUUGACGGGUAGCCGGCCUGAGAGGGUGACCGGCCACAUUGGGACUGAGAUACGGCCCAGACUCCUACGGGAGGCAGCAGGGGGGAAUAUUGCACAAGGGGUGGAAGCCUGAUGCAGCAACGCCGUGUGCGGGAUGACGGCCUUCGGGUUGUAAACCGCUUUCGCUCAUGACGAAGCUUUGUGUGACGGUAGUGGGUAAAGAAGCACCGGCUAACUACGUG
Molecule: ribosomal RNA, 467 nt
Filed under: uncultured bacterium
Lineage: Bacteria
Description: partial 16S ribosomal RNA
Rfam family: Bacterial small subunit ribosomal RNA
Source: RNAcentral